Uranotaenia lowii is the source of this 6073-nucleotide long non-coding RNA. RefSeq lists it as uncharacterized. The record is from RefSeq and is a predicted model, not a curated record. NCBI's taxonomy places the organism in Eukaryota, Metazoa, Arthropoda, Insecta, Diptera, Culicidae. The transcript has 3 exons.
GCUAAAAAUAGCAUUGGCGAGAAAAUAGAAGAAGAACACGCAGAGAAAACUUGGAUUUUGAAACAAAACGAAACUGACUUUGAUUCAAAAAAUUCUUUUUUUCGAUUCAAUCUCCUGUUUUCUUUGAAUUUAUGAAUUAUGGUCUUGUUUCAAAUAAAUAAUUUUUGAAAGAAAGAAUUAAUUUUUUGAAUCGAAUAGUUUUGGACUUCGAUUUUAAACAAAUUCUUUGAUUCAAAAGACAUUUGUACAAUUGCAUAUUUAUUUGGAAACAAAGUGAAUUUUUUUUCAACCAAAGAAAAAUGUAUUCAAUGCAAAGGAAUAAUUUCUUAAAAUAAAAACUUCAAGCUUUGAAGGUUUUUUGCAUUGAGUAAGAAGAAUUUAAAACGAAAAAUCGGUUUGGCUAGUCGUGUGAAAAUGUGGAUCAGAGUUAGCUUAGUUAGGAGGAUUCAGGAUAAAGUAUGGUAAGUUUAUGUUAAUUAAAGAAUGAAUAUUAAAGAUUUUCAAUAAGUGCAUGAAAUUUUACAGGACCACGGCCGAUAGAUAGUCCCUGGAUGCCUCAACCGAGGUGACACCGCUCCAAUCCAGCGAUCAGGUCCACGAAAAUUUAAACCGGAUGAUUCGAUUAAAGUGAACCAGUGUGUGACCCAGUGUUUCAUUUAUUUGUGAAUAAAAAUAAAUUUUAAAUUUUAAAUCCUUCCUUUUAAUUAUUUGAAAUUCCUAAUAGGAAUUUCAAAACAACAGAAAAUAAUGCUUCCAAUUGGAAUAAAUAGAAAAUGGUUCAAUGAAUAAAUGCCUUUAAAUCUAAAUUAAAUUACCUUGUGGCAAAAGAAAGCAACUUUGAAUCAAAAGAAACUGUUUUUUGUUUCAAAGUAUCAAUAUUUUGAAUCAAAGAUUUUUCGAAAGAAAAAUUCUUUGAAACAAACGAAAAUGCAUUUGAAACAAAGAAAUUUUUAUUCAUCCCAAAAUCAAAGGAUAUUUUCCUUUGUUUGUAACUGAUAGAAAAGCAGCGGCUAGACUAGCCAAGGCAAGGUACUUGAAGAGUACGGAACCUCAGGGCCGGCUGGCUACUGGGUAACCAAGGACUUACGGAUAAAAUACAGAAAUCGGAAAUUUCAUGUUUCUAUGUUUGCUUUUAUUAAUGUUUUUAUGUAGCGUGUUGUCUGUGUGUACAAUAAACAAUGUCUGUCUGUAAUGUGUGGCGUGUAAAUUCUCACUAACCGUGGUUGUGCUGCUGGUGGUCUUGCGUCGCGACGUCGUAGUUCCGGAAAUCCCGUUCCGGAAGCAGGAGGGCCGUCGAUAUAUAGGCGGAUCGACGGAGUGCCGAAACUGUCGGCGCCAGCGGGCGUUGCUGGACUCAGUUAAUGCAGGCGUCUUCCUUCUUUGGCGUUUAAUCGGCCUGCCCACGAGAGUGCCCCGUAUCCGGACAGGCCGAGAAGGGAAGUCCUCCUUGGAAGUUAGGGUUCCUUAGAACCCGAGGACGAUGAUGAUGGUCUUUUACGGUUAGGCGCGAGACCACAAGGGAUCUGCGGGCCGAGCCGUGAGGAAGCCAACCGGUGUUUCCGGGCGAAUUCCGUGGAAUUUCACGAACACUAAACACAACACGGACUUUACUCACGGACGCCUGGUACAGAAGAGAGCCAAUUUUCCUGAAGCAAGCUUCCUUUUCGCCUUCCAUGUUCUCUUUUUCUUUCCUCCUUUUCCUCCUCUGUGAAUUGACAGCAGCCAGCAGUAAAAUGUAGCCUACUGUGGUGCUAUCUUGUUGUGAGACUCGACAAGGAACAUGAAUUUUCUAGAGCUAAAUAUACAAUACUACAAAAAUGAAAACAAAAAUCAAACGAUUUGUAACCAACCGGUUACACUAUCCACCACUCCAAUGAAAAAAUGUGAAAAUACGAAGUGUUUUGCAUUUUUUUUUUGUUUCCAGAACAAUCCAUCGCAUUUAUCGAAUUGUGGCAGACAUAUUACAUUUAAAACGACAAAGCAUAAUUAAAUUUUUCAUAUUUGCAAUGCAUCUUAAGGGCUAAACAUGCAUAAAAUAAUAAAUAAAAACAAACUUCAAUUCAACGUGCACUGAAAAUUAAAAUUACUUUAAGACUAUGGUGAAUAAAUAAUUAAAUAAAUAAAUAAUAUACAAGCCAAAAUUUAAAUAAACGUGCACGAAUCAUUAAAAGUAUCUUACAACUAGAGAAUAAUAAAUUAACAUGAAUAUCACAGAUCAUAUUUGAAAACGCACAUUAAAUAAAAAUCCAAACGCGGUAAUAAAUAACACACAACAGGUUAAAUUCAUUUAAACGUGCAUCACAAAUAUAAUCUAAAAUUAUUCACCUAACUUAUAUCACUAUUGUAAUUACAUGCACAAUCAAACUUUCAAUUUCCACUUUAUUUGUUUCACCAAAAUCAACAUAUUUUUAAUUCAACAAGCACUAGUUAAAAAAAACAAUUUAAAAUAAACUAAAAUACUUAUCACUAUGUUGCGCAACACUUAAACGAUCGAUCGUACUAAACUGUUACAACAAAAAUAUUUAAAUUAAUAAUUAAUUACAGUACCCUAUAAAUAAUAAGUAUAUACAGUACCCUAUUUGUGAUUUAGAUCACUUUCAAAAUGGUCAUCACGAGCGGGCAAAUAGGUGGCGGGCAAUAUCAUGAUCGAUGAUCAUGAUCAUGACAGAUCAUCAGAUGUCAUAUCGAAUUGUCACAACAUAAUGUUGUUUAUUUAUGUUUUAUUUUGUCGUAAAAAGUACGUUCUUCUUAGGAUGAUCACCAAUUUGUUGCUCCACCGAACAGUGAUCGAAUGCAGCAUGCAUCGAUAUGCUAUGAUUGACGAUCAUCGUACGAAUUGGGAGAAAUUGUUUAACCGAUUCUGUGCUGCUACAGUGUCAUCUUUUCAGCAAAAAGGGACAUGCAGCGAAUCGAAAAUAGAUCCCAGGGACACCGUAUCAAAUAUCUUCCAGCGAAAGAUGAAAUAGAGCUGGCCAGGCUCAAUGGGCAAUCCCUUCGCGCGCACAUCACUAACCGCAGCACCAUGAAAGAGCCACAACGGGUUUCCCCUUCCAUCGUCGUUGGAUAACUGUGCCGCUAUGGAUACCCUGAUUUAUCAAGAGGUUUGUUCCAAUCAAUUAUAAUUUUGAAUAAGGAUUUGUGUUUUUUUUAUUUCCACCCACAAGUUAACGACUGGCAAGUUCUCUCAACUCCAGUCUAUUAAGUGGGUGUUUAAAAAUUCUACAUUUCAACUUUCAACUCAUUUGCUCUAUUUGUUCUUUUCUCUUCCAGGUACCCAACUGAGUCGGACGAGCCGGUUCAACGAAGGACAAAGCUCGCCGGUUUCCAUGGAUACCGGAUAGCAUCAUGGAAUCCUUUCGAAACCUUCCCUAGAGGAAUCAGUCAUUCCAAGCCCAAUAAGUAACUUUAGGAAUUUAAAAAGAACAAACAGAUUAUCACAAAUUUCAAUAAAUAACAUCGAAUUAAAUUAAACAUUCAUAUCACAAUUUAAAUUAUCCGUAUCACAUUUCCAUAUCACAGAUCCAAUUUCUAGCCGUUUUGAAACUAAGCCGGGUCCCUGCCAAAAUUAUGUUUUUAUGUUUUUGCGAACUUUAGAAGAAUUAAACUGAUCAAUUAAGGGAUUCAAACGAGCAUCAACCAAAUGUUCCACGAUUCGCAUCAUGCUUUCUUCCACUUUUUUGUAAAUUUCAGGUUCUCUUGUUCGGUAUCCGGAAGUACUAGAAUCGUAAUCUUCUUUCCGGAUGUUCGGAGGUUUGUGUUUCCAGUAACAUCCAUCAAUCUCAAAUCCUGAUAUUGGAUUGGAUUUUUGAAGAUUUGAGUGGUUUUCAAUAGAAGGGGCAUAUUCAGCACAGGAAUCUGAACUUAUGUUAGAAAGAGUGGAAUUCGAUUCUAUCAAUGUUGGUUCUGAAUUUUCAUUACAUGGUUUAUAAUUACGACAUUCACAAGUACCGAUGAUUGGCAGGUGUCUAGUUCCUGCAUCUCUACAUAAGAUCUGAAGUUCUUGUUGUAAAGCUUGCAUGAACUUCCGACUUCUUACCAAAUCGAUCGGCCUCAGUUUUCCCUGGUUCAUCAUCGCUCUCCAUAUGGCCAGUGAAGAUUCCAAAUCGGCAGCUAUCGACUCAACUGGGUAAUUAGGAUGCAAUGGCUUUACCGGACACGGCAUCUCCGCAGACUCAUCACUAUCCGAAUCAUCAGCGUCGUAGUCCUCCAACUGGAACUCCACUGGUUCAAAUUUCACUCUUAAUCGUUUUCGUUUAGUCAUGUUUGUUUUGAUUGGAUACUAUAGUAUGUGAUAUGUGAUAUAUGUGAUUAGUGACAACUAUCAUUUGUUGGAAAAAUACGGGUGUGGGUGAAAAGUGUUGCCAUAGCAUUUAAAAUUAAAAUCAUUAUGCAAAACUAAAUUAUGCUUUUUAAAUACUUUGAACAUACAUCAUAAACUUUAACAAAACACGCGAACAACCAAAACCAUCGAAUUCUUCGGUGGGAAAAAUGGUUUUAGAAACGGAUUAAAGUCCUUCUUCUGGUCGGGACCUUGUACAAACACAAAACAUCGUAUCAAGCACUUUUUUACACUAAAUUGAUGGGUGUACGGCGACAGCCAUUCGUGGAUCGCACGAAUCCCUGCCACCUCCCGUCAGAAAAAAUCCUUAGAUUUUUGUAUUCUACGCGGUCGUCUCUUGGUUACCUUUCGCGGACUUUUAGUUGGGCGCCAUUUGUUACUGAUAGAAAAGCAGCGGCUAGACUAGCCAAGGCAAGGUACUUGAAGAGUACGGAACCUCAGGGCCGGCUGGCUACUGGGUAACCAAGGACUUACGGAUAAAAUACAGAAAUCGGAAAUUUCAUGUUUCUAUGUUUGCUUUUAUUAAUGUUUUUAUGUAGCGUGUUGUCUGUGUGUACAAUAAACAAUGUCUGUCUGUAAUGUGUGGCGUGUAAAUUCUCACUAACCGUGGUUGUGCUGCUGGUGGUCUUGCGUCGCGACGUCGUAGUUCCGGAAAUCCCGUUCCGGAAGCAGGAGGGCCGCCGAUAUAUAGGCGGAUCGACGGAGUGCCGAAACUGUCGGCGCCAGCGGGCGUUGCUGGACUCAGUUAAUGCAGGCGUCUUCCUUCUUUGGCGUUUAAUCGGCCUGCCCACGAGAGUGCCCCGUAUCCGGACAGGCCGAGAAGGGAAGUCCUCCUUGGAAGUUAGGGUUCCUUAGAACCCGAGGACGAUGAUGAUGGUCUUUUACGGUUAGGCGCGAGACCACAAGGGAUCUGCGGGCCGAGCCGUGAGGAAGCCAACCGGUGUUUCCGGGCGAAUUCCGUGGAAUUUCACGAACACUAAACACAACACGGACUUUACUCACGGACGCCUGGUACAGAAGAGAGCCAAUUUUCCUGAAGCAAGCUUCCUUUUCGCCUUCCAUGUUCUCUUUUUCUUUCCUCCUUUUCCUCCUCUGUGAAUUGACAGCAGCCAGCAGUAAAAUGUAGCCUACUGUGGUGCUAUCUUGUUGUGAGACUCGACAAGGAACAUGAAUUUUCUAGAGCUAAAUAUACAAUACUACAAAAAUGAAAACAAAAAUCAAACGAUUUGUAACCAACCGGUUACAUGUUUUCGCUGCACUUUCCUUUGAAAUAAAAAAUCUUUUCGCUGCGUGAUCCACCGCGACUAUUUAGUUUAUCUAUUGUGAUAUUACCUUGCAUUACUACUUAUACUUUGCUAUACUACUUGACACCCCAUGCAGUAUCGGUUGAAGUUCAGUAGCCUACCGGGAGUACUGCGAGCACACACAUAUCUAGAUAGGACCUCCAAGAGCAAACUAAGUUCCCUUGAACAGCAUUUGCCUAUGUAUGCCAGAUUACCUCACGACCGGGAUUCGAUUUCAUAACCGUUGGUUUAGAAGAGAAGACGCUAUCCUCUAUGUUAUGGUCUGUUGGCUUAGGCUCACUACUAUUCAAGCCUUUAUAAAGGAUAACCUUGGCCGAUUCAUUCGAAAAUCGUUUUCUACGUCUUUGUCCAACUGUCUAAGAUUUAUUAAGGGCCUAACUUCUACUAAAUUAACUUUGGAGGAUGGUCAAUAAAACUUCAUUUUUUAAUU